RNAcentral lists this ribosomal RNA (468 nucleotides) under uncultured bacterium. Its description in RNAcentral is "partial 16S ribosomal RNA". It matches the Rfam family "Bacterial small subunit ribosomal RNA", at positions 28 to 507 of the family's 1533-position model. The record is from RNAcentral.
GACGAACGCUGGCGGCGUGCUUAACACAUGCAAGUCGAACGGAAAGGCCCUGCUUUUGUGGGGUGCUCGAGUGGCGAACGGGUGAGUAACACGUGUGUAACCUGCCCUUGACUUUGGGAUAACUUCAGGAAACUGGGGCUAAUACCGGAUAGGAGCUCCUGCUGCAUGGUGGGGGUUGGAAAGUUUCGGCGGUUGGGGAUGGACUCGCGGCUUAUCAGCUUGUUGGUGGGGUAGUGGCUUACCAAGGCUUUGACGGGUAGCCGGCCUGAGAGGGUGACCGGCCACAUUGGGACUGAGAUACGGCCCGGACUCCUACGGGAGGCAGCAGUGGGGAAGGUUGCACAAUGGGCGGAAGCCUGAUGCAGCAACGCCGCGUGCGGGAUGGCGGCCUUCGGGUUGUAAACCGUUUUCGCCGGUGACGAAGCGUGAGUGACGGUAAUGGGUAAAGAAGCACCGGCUAACUACGUG